GAAAAUUACAAGCAUAAGCUCAAAACUCAAAGGACUUGGCGGCGCUUUAGAUCCACCUAGAGGAGCCUGUCCUAUAACCGAUAACCCCCGUUAAACCUUACCUUCUUUUGCCUUCAGUUUAUAUACCGCCGUCGUCAGCUUACCCUUUGAGGGUCUUAUUAGUAAGCAAGCUCGGUCAAGCCCCAGACGUCAGGUCGAGGUGUAGCAUAUAAGAAGUGAAGAGAUGGGCUACAUUUCCUAAAUUAGGGUCCACGGAUAAUGUUUUGAAACAAACAUAUUGAAGUAGGAUUUAGCAGUAAGUAAAAAAUAGAGUGUUUU
RNAcentral lists this ribosomal RNA (318 nucleotides) under Rivulus sp. 'Rio Supamo'. RNAcentral describes it as "partial 12S ribosomal RNA". It matches the Rfam family "Bacterial small subunit ribosomal RNA", at positions 875 to 1360 of the family's 1533-position model. The record is from RNAcentral. Lineage: Eukaryota; Metazoa; Chordata; Actinopteri; Cyprinodontiformes; Rivulidae.